CAAUGGGGGGGUUGGAAGACUCUGACCUCUUCAAUUGAGAACACGCCCCCAGCGACGCGCAGAGCACUGAGAGACAGUCCGAUUACCGCAAAUCUCCAAACUGGUCGGUCAAAUGCAUCUCGAUUCUCCUCCAGCAUUGAAGUGCCUAAUCUGAUCUCUGAAAGUGUCCAGUAAGCUAUAUCUAGCAGCUCCACCCGUCCGCGAUGCAUGGAAGGAUUGGGGUGGCGGAUCAGCA
Molecule: long non-coding RNA, 235 nt
Filed under: Panax ginseng (ginseng)
Lineage: Eukaryota; Viridiplantae; Streptophyta; Magnoliopsida; Apiales; Araliaceae
Description: long non-coding RNA (PGIN_LNC008212)
Source: RNAcentral